RNAcentral lists this ribosomal RNA (322 nucleotides) under uncultured eukaryote. RNAcentral describes it as "partial 18S ribosomal RNA". It matches the Rfam family "Eukaryotic small subunit ribosomal RNA", at positions 1470 to 1796 of the family's 1831-position model. The record is from RNAcentral.
CCCUUAGAUGUUCUGGGCCGCACGCGUGCUACACUGAGUGGAUCAGCGGGUCAGGUUGCGCGAAAGCGUUUCCUAAUCUUUAAAUCCGCUCGUGAUGGGGAUUGACGGUUGCAAUUUUCUGUCAUGAACGAGGAAUACCUUGUAAGCGCGGGUCAUCAUCCAGCGCUGAAUACGUCCCUGCCCUUUGUACACACCGCCCGUCGCUCCUACCGAUUGAGUGGUCCGGUGAGGCUUUGGGAUCUGAGCGGAAAGAGCGUUUCGCUGUUUCUGCUCGGAAAACUCAGUCGAACCUUAUCAUUUAGAGGAAGGAGAAGUCGUAACA